RNAcentral lists this ribosomal RNA (1554 nucleotides) under Salmonella enterica subsp. enterica serovar Muenchen. Its description in RNAcentral is "bacterial SSU rRNA". It matches the Rfam family "Bacterial small subunit ribosomal RNA". Lineage: Bacteria; Pseudomonadati; Pseudomonadota; Gammaproteobacteria; Enterobacterales; Enterobacteriaceae. The record is from RNAcentral.
UUAAAUUGAAGAGUUUGAUCAUGGCUCAGAUUGAACGCUGGCGGCAGGCCUAACACAUGCAAGUCGAACGGUAACAGGAAGCAGCUUGCUGCUCGGGUGACGAGUGGCGGACGGGUGAGUAAUGUCUGGGAAACUGCCUGAUGGAGGGGGAUAACUACUGGAAACGGUGGCUAAUACCGCAUAACGUCGCAAGACCAAAGAGGGGGACCUUCGGGCCUCUUGCCAUCAGAUGUGCCCAGAUGGGAUUAGCUUGUUGGUGAGGUAACGGCUCACCAAGGCGACGAUCCCUAGCUGGUCUGAGAGGAUGACCAGCCACACUGGAACUGAGACACGGUCCAGACUCCUACGGGAGGCAGCAGUGGGGAAUAUUGCACAAUGGGCGCAAGCCUGAUGCAGCCAUGCCGCGUGUAUGAAGAAGGCCUUCGGGUUGUAAAGUACUUUCAGCGGGGAGGAAGGUGUUGUGGUUAAUAACCGCAGCAAUUGACGUUACCCGCAGAAGAAGCACCGGCUAACUCCGUGCCAGCAGCCGCGGUAAUACGGAGGGUGCAAGCGUUAAUCGGAAUUACUGGGCGUAAAGCGCACGCAGGCGGUCUGUCAAGUCGGAUGUGAAAUCCCCGGGCUCAACCUGGGAACUGCAUUCGAAACUGGCAGGCUUGAGUCUUGUAGAGGGGGGUAGAAUUCCAGGUGUAGCGGUGAAAUGCGUAGAGAUCUGGAGGAAUACCGGUGGCGAAGGCGGCCCCCUGGACAAAGACUGACGCUCAGGUGCGAAAGCGUGGGGAGCAAACAGGAUUAGAUACCCUGGUAGUCCACGCCGUAAACGAUGUCUACUUGGAGGUUGUGCCCUUGAGGCGUGGCUUCCGGAGCUAACGCGUUAAGUAGACCGCCUGGGGAGUACGGCCGCAAGGUUAAAACUCAAAUGAAUUGACGGGGGCCCGCACAAGCGGUGGAGCAUGUGGUUUAAUUCGAUGCAACGCGAAGAACCUUACCUGGUCUUGACAUCCACAGAACUUUCCAGAGAUGGAUUGGUGCCUUCGGGAACUGUGAGACAGGUGCUGCAUGGCUGUCGUCAGCUCGUGUUGUGAAAUGUUGGGUUAAGUCCCGCAACGAGCGCAACCCUUAUCCUUUGUUGCCAGCGAUUAGGUCGGGAACUCAAAGGAGACUGCCAGUGAUAAACUGGAGGAAGGUGGGGAUGACGUCAAGUCAUCAUGGCCCUUACGACCAGGGCUACACACGUGCUACAAUGGCGCAUACAAAGAGAAGCGACCUCGCGAGAGCAAGCGGACCUCAUAAAGUGCGUCGUAGUCCGGAUUGGAGUCUGCAACUCGACUCCAUGAAGUCGGAAUCGCUAGUAAUCGUGGAUCAGAAUGCCACGGUGAAUACGUUCCCGGGCCUUGUACACACCGCCCGUCACACCAUGGGAGUGGGUUGCAAAAGAAGUAGGUAGCUUAACCUUCGGGAGGGCGCUUACCACUUUGUGAUUCAUGACUGGGGUGAAGUCGUAACAAGGUAACCGUAGGGGAACCUGCGGUUGGAUCACCUCCUUACCUUAAAGAA